RNAcentral lists this transfer RNA (77 nucleotides) under Clostridiaceae bacterium. Its description in RNAcentral is "tRNA-His". It matches the Rfam family "tRNA". From Rfam's summary of the family: Transfer RNA (tRNA) molecules are approximately 80 nucleotides in length. Their secondary structure includes four short double-helical elements and three loops (D, anti-codon, and T loops). Further hydrogen bonds mediate the characteristic L-shaped molecular structure. tRNAs have two regions of fundamental functional importance: the anti-codon, which is responsible for specific mRNA codon recognition, and the 3' end, to which the tRNAs corresponding amino acid is attached (by aminoacyl-tRNA synthetases). tRNAs cope with the degeneracy of the genetic code in two manners: having more than one tRNA (with a specific anti-codon) for a particular amino acid; and 'wobble' base-pairing, i.e. permitting non-standard base-pairing at the 3rd anti-codon position. The record is from RNAcentral. Lineage: Bacteria; Bacillati; Bacillota; Clostridia; Eubacteriales; Clostridiaceae.
GUGGAUAUAGCUCAGUCGGUUAGAGCGCCAGGUUGUGGCCCUGGAGGUCGUGGGUUCGAAUCCCACUAUUCACCCCA